AACCCUGUCUCAAAAAAAAAAAAAAAAAAAAAAAAAAAACAGAAAAAAAAUUGCCCUAUUUCUUCCCUCAAAGAUGAAAACAGAUAAUUACAGCUUCUCAAUUAUCCGGUAAGAGAGAAUCUAAGAUAACUUUCCUGAACGUUCUAAUGGCCACUCUCAUUGCUGAUGGGAAGAAAUGACCACAUGAGGACCCCCAACUCUCAGGGACAUGCCAAGAACCAGCACCCCUACCCCCAGGCUGCUCCUCAUCAGGGGCCUGCCACUUCAUGGUAAUCACCUUAAAAUCGGCUUCAGUGGAAUUAUUUAAAUGCACUUAUCUCAGUCCAUUUUAAAUAAAAGUUUGUACAAGGUAGGUGAUAUUGCAGGGAAAAAAAGCCCAUGGAAGGACUUUCUAAUGCAUUCACUGACAACCAUUCUUUGACUUUAUGCAUAUUCAGAUAAGAGGCUAAACUGAAUGCAUUAUAACCUCUACUUUGUGUUAAGAUGGAAGAUUAACCACCAAUCAGAGCUAAAUUAUAUUGUUAGCAAGACAUCAACUCUGAUAAAAUUUCAUCCUCUCCAUCCUCUCAUAAAUACCUGAAGCACAGCGACUCAAGAGAUCUCACUUUGAUUGUCUUAAGCAAGUAGAAGUGUGCUUCCUUAUGAACUGCUGACACACAGAAAGUGAAAGACUUUCUCAGAGCUAAUGAGCAAUUCCAGUGUAUCACCCGUGUCAGGCUGGGUGGAAGGCACUGGCUUGCUUAGAAGUGCUCAUUUUCAGUGUCCCUACAUCUCAAGUGAGGACCUCAUGUCACAGCGGCACCUGCUCAGAAAGCAGUUGCUUGGUACUUACCACAUUGUAGUGAUGUUAUAGACACGGUUCAAAAGCAUACUGUCACUAAUCGUUUAUGGUGAAAUCCGAAGCCUUAGAAUGUUAAUGCCAUAACUCAGCAAUAAUUUGAAUACCUUUUGAAAAAAACAUUGCGAUGGUUUGUUUUGUUUGUCUCCCUAGACUGGAUUUAGAAUUGCCUGAGAGUCACACCUCUGGGCAUGUCUGUGAGGGUAUUAGCUGAAGGGGGAGAUGCACUCUGAAAGUAGACUGAAGUCAAUGACUGAAUGUUUGAAAAAUAG
RNAcentral lists this long non-coding RNA (1110 nucleotides) under Mus musculus (house mouse). Its description in RNAcentral is "long non-coding RNA chr13:25170721-25171831". The record is from RNAcentral. Lineage: Eukaryota; Metazoa; Chordata; Mammalia; Rodentia; Muridae.